UCAACAGCUGCAAAGGCAAAGGGAUUGGCCUCCUGGGCAGAAAGGGGCCAAAAGGGAGGGCCCUUUGGAGGAGCGUGGCUCUGGUGAGGGGUGGAGGUGAGACCCACACUUAUGCUCUGAUGCCUUGCAACUGAUUUCCUCCAGAUACAAACAGGGCAGCUGAAUGGGGAGAUGGCCUCCCCCAUCAGAGGCAGUUCCCAGCCAGCUUCCUUGGAUGGCCACACAGGAAUCACUCCACACACCAUCCCUGAGAAGCAGAACCACAGGGAAACCUCUUGUCCCUCUGGAAACUCAGUUACAAUCAGUUCAGCACUUGAAGGAAGGAUCUCGAAACAUUACAGCCCGAAGAACAAGAGGGUGAAACUGUGGAGGCCUCAGCAUCUUCUACCCAGAGUGUGCCCAAGCUAUACCCUGGGGCAGCCACCAGCAUCAAGAGCUUCAGGCCAGUAGGGAGCUAGGGGACCUCUUGGUCCCAUUUCCUUGAUAACAUCAGAAAUCUGAAGAACAACUCUCCAGCAAGGCACGGGCUUCAACUGAAGCCCUCUUCCCAAGUCAUACUAAAACAAGAACUGACCCCAGCUGCGGGUGCUUCUCUCUGCCCGCACAUCCCUCUUCCAGCCUGCUCCAUAUGCAGCCCCACACAGUGGGGGUUCCUGUUGGGAUUGUGUGUCUGGGGCAAGUGACCUUACCACCCCAAGCCUCCAUUUCCUCAGAAGUCAAACAGGGAUGGGGAUGCUGACUUUCCGGGGACCCAUACUCCUGAGUCAGUGGCCACAUUACCGGGAUGUAGGCCACACACCAGGCAGGUCCAUGGAUUCACCCACCAUGCCCUGCUCCUAUGGUGUCAUUCUGAAUCCAAGAGCUGUGCUUCACAACUUUCAAGUUUGAGCAGAAAUAGGAUCUACUUCUGCAAGUCUCAGCUGGUCAAGAAACUGUGAUACUGGGAGGUGACUGGGGAGCACAGCGGGCUACAAAGGGAAUACUAGGUCCUGAAGGACUUGCUGUUCUAAAAGAGCUAUCUGGAGCUGGCAGAUCUGGGCUUGGGCUAGAGGAGGAGUUCUGUUUCUUGGGUGGCCCAAGCAUAAGUUACAAGGGAAAGAGACAGGUCUGGGCCUGGUUGGAGGCUGGGGAUGUAUAAUGCUAUCCAGAAGCUCUGGGUCCAAGGAAAGAAUUUUGACCAUACAUGGAAGAUGAAAGCCCACCCACAAAAGGGGACAGUCAAGCACCAAAGUGGUCCAGGAAAGCAGAAGAAUUCAACCAUGGAAGAGCCAGCUCAGGGCUCCCACUCAAGUCCCAAUAUCUUGGACAAACACCUGCCAGGAGGUUGGGACUACCUGCUGGUGGUGUCCUGCUUGAACACCUUCAGUGGCAGGAAGCUCAUUACCAGCCACUCCAGAGCCUUCGACUCUGUUCUCAGACAGCUCCAUUCCUUGGGUAUCCUUGACUUUGACAUAGCGAAGCCAGCACCCUAAAGCUGCCACCCUCGUGCUAGUGCUGCCACCUAGACCCUCAGGGAAAAGUCUCACCUCUUUUCUGCAAGCCACCCAGGAGGCUACUCACUGCCCCUCUCUUCUCUGAGCAAAGCCUCAGUUCCUUCCCUAUACUCCAAAAGCACAGCUUUCUGAUCUUUCCCCACUACAGCUAUUGGAAAUGCAUUCGGUUUGUCAAAGUGAUCGGUUUAAAUAAAGCAUGGCUCCAGAUCACACCGGCUUGAGGUGCUCUGACCUUGGGGAGCCAGGCGGUAAGCA
Molecule: long non-coding RNA, 1748 nt
Filed under: Homo sapiens (human)
Lineage: Eukaryota; Metazoa; Chordata; Mammalia; Primates; Hominidae
Description: HSALNT0382839
Source: RNAcentral